This 260-nucleotide ribosomal RNA is filed under the name uncultured bacterium. Its description in RNAcentral is "partial 16S ribosomal RNA". It matches the Rfam family "Bacterial small subunit ribosomal RNA", at positions 90 to 354 of the family's 1533-position model. The record is from RNAcentral.
UCUUAGUGGCGGACGGGUGAGUAACGCGUGGGCAACCUGCCCUGUACCGGGGGAUAACACUUAGAAAUAGGUGCUAAUACCGCAUAAUAGGGAAUACCGCAUGGUAAUCCUUUGAAAACUCCGGUGGUACAGGAUGGGCCCGCGUCUGAUUAGCCAGUUGGCGGGGUAACGGCCACAAGCGACGAUCAGCAGCCGGCCUGAGAGGGUGGACGGCCACACUGGGACUGAGACACGGCCCAGACUCCUACGGAAGGCAGCAG